Lineus longissimus is the source of this 705-nucleotide long non-coding RNA. RefSeq lists it as uncharacterized. The transcript is spliced from 4 exons. The record is from RefSeq and is a predicted model, not a curated record. Lineage: Eukaryota; Metazoa; Nemertea; Pilidiophora; Heteronemertea; Lineidae.
GACUGUUUGGGGAGAAAUUGGAGCCAAGCAUAUCUGGCCGUGAUGUAGACCAUGAUCAUAGUUGACCCAGAGGGAUGCGUUAUGACGUUACAGAGUAGAAGCCACAAGAUUGGGAUGAGAGACGGUGUGGUCACCAAGGACAGCACCAAAGGAAGACUUAUGAACGACCGAGUGAGGACAGUAGAUACAUCUGCCACCAUUCUGACAGAAGCCGUGUUCACAAGUAAAGCAUUUUUCAGACCGUUUUCCGUGAAUCGUGCCCAGUAUAUCGGCCCCUCACCCAAUGCGUGAAAACCACUGGUGAUUGAGUCUGGUAGAGCGCCGUGACAUCUCUCGUAAACAAGCUGGGUUAUGGACACGGAUCACGUCAACUAAGAGUUGCAAGUUCAAAUGUCUUUGUCUUCGAAGAACUAUCCUUUUCCUUUGGAUCAGCUGAACACGAUAGGGCCCCUCCAUUCUGAAUGGAAAAGACGUCUAUCAUCUAUGCUUUGGUUCACCAGUUACAUCCUCAGAUGAUUCAGUCCAUGCAGGACAUUGUAAACAUGGAGAAUAUCAAGAAGAACUGAGUGGUGCCGAAAAUACCUGAAGAUUUACUUUUUCAGCCAAGAAUGACAUUGUAGGCCUAAAGGUUUAGAAAUUAUACCUAAAUUCCUCAGGAUUAUGGCGUACUCCUAUUGGAUAGCCUGGAAACCAUUUAUCCUGGGU